Molecule: transfer RNA, 63 nt
Filed under: Aesa media
Lineage: Eukaryota; Metazoa; Arthropoda; Insecta; Coleoptera; Cerambycidae
Description: tRNA-Arg
Source: RNAcentral
AAAUAAGAAGCAAAAAUUGCUUUUAGUUUCGACCUAAAAAUCUGGUGAUUACACCCUUAUUUU